Molecule: non-coding RNA, 986 nt
Organism: Misgurnus anguillicaudatus (oriental weatherfish)
Lineage: Eukaryota; Metazoa; Chordata; Actinopteri; Cypriniformes; Cobitidae
Source: RefSeq, a predicted model, not a curated record
UGUAAAGAGGAGCAGCAUGGCAGCUGGAUGAGUGCGGUCAGUUAAUUAAUGCUGCUUGCUUAAUUUCGUGUUACUGAUUAAGUGUUUAUACUUAAAGUUAGAUGAUAUGUUGGUGUUUUAUGGCUCGCGAAUUUGCAAUAACUGCAUUUAUCAGGCAAUCACACGUUACGUCACACGCUUAUGCUUGUACCUGCGGUCGCUCGCGCUGUAUCCAUGAUUUAAAGAAGAAAAUAGACUCUAACUCCCUUGUAAGAAAAAGUCAAGCAGUGUAAGUUUUUGAGCCCUUCAAAUUAAACAUAGUGAUGGUGAUCUUGUCAAUGCUGAGAUUUUAAUGCAUCAACAGCCAUUACAUCUGUCUGGAUCAGGAUUGAACAAGAAACAGACAACAAGAGUUGUCAGGUCAGAAACGUGAUGACACACAAACAUAAGAAACUUCACAGGCGGCAAUUUCUUUUUCCACCGGUGGGUGCUCAUCACAACCUCCAGCUUUACUUAGCAACCCCUGGUGCUCUGGAGCGCUCAAAAGCUUUGAAGAGGUGGAAAGCAGUGCAGUCACGUUUUCGUGUGAUUUUAGAUGCGAAUAUUAAAGUUAAAGGCAGAUCACCGUGCAACUUGGUGAAGUCAUGUGUCUUUCCAGAUGCCAAAAUCUGUACCCCUCAAAAAGACUUUAUUAAAUGCCAUGAUAGCCAAGAUGAGCCUGAAGAGGAGAUUUGGGAAGAUGCUGUUUCAUAAGUCUUUGCUUUGCCAGAUUAUCUGUGGUAGGGGUGUCUGCCAACGUGAUGCCUUGCUGGUCUGGUUUGAGUUUGAAGUCUCUCACAGACAGUCCAGAAGGUCUGGAGUCCAUCUUAGCUUUCAUUGAUGCUGUCAUCAUAUUUUAAGUGCAUAAGCCAGAAUGGAUGGGUGGUGGUGACCAUAAAAAGACUGUCAACUAAACCAACAACAAAAUUCAUAUUUGCAGUUAUAAAUAAAAUGACUUUUAAACAUGA